UACGGGGGGGGCAAGCGUUGUUCGGAAUUACUGGGCGUAAAGAGCUCGUAGGCGGUGUGUCACGUCGGCCGUGAAAACCUGCAGCUUAACUGUGGGCGUGCGGUCGAUACGGGCAUCACUGGAGUUCGGCAGGGGAGACUGGAAUUCCUGGUGUAGCGGUGAAAUGCGCAGAUAUCAGGAGGAACACCGGUGGCGAAGGCGGUUCUCUGGGCAUUACCUGACGCUGAGGAGCGAAAGUGUGGGGAGCGAACAGG
RNAcentral lists this ribosomal RNA (254 nucleotides) under uncultured bacterium. RNAcentral describes it as "partial 16S ribosomal RNA". It matches the Rfam family "Bacterial small subunit ribosomal RNA", at positions 524 to 776 of the family's 1533-position model. The record is from RNAcentral.